Molecule: ribosomal RNA, 365 nt
Filed under: uncultured bacterium
Lineage: Bacteria
Description: bacterial SSU rRNA
Rfam family: Bacterial small subunit ribosomal RNA
Source: RNAcentral
GAUGAACGCUAGCGGCGGGCCUAACACAUGCAAGUCGAGGGGUAGAGUUCUUCGGGACUUGAGACCGGCGCACGGGUGCGUAACGCGUAUGCAAUCUACCUUAUACAGGGAAUAGCCCAGAGAAAUUUGGAUUAAUGCCCCAUAGUGUUAUCGAAUCGCAUGGUUUGAUAACUAAAGUUCCAACGGUAUAAGAUGAGCAUGCGUCCCAUUAGUUAGUUGGUAAGGUAACGGCUUACCAAGACAAUGAUGGGGUAGGGGUCCUGAGAGGGAGACUCCCCCACACUGGUACUGAGACACGGACCAGACUCCUACGGGAGGCAGCAGUGAGGAAUAUUGGUCAAUGGGCGCAAGCCUGAACCAGCCAU